This 188-nucleotide ribosomal RNA is filed under the name Channa striata (snakehead murrel). Its description in RNAcentral is "partial 16S ribosomal RNA". The record is from RNAcentral. Lineage: Eukaryota; Metazoa; Chordata; Actinopteri; Anabantiformes; Channidae.
GCCAAACAGCUAGCCCAAUCAAAUAAAACCAAAAAAUCACCAUAAAUACCCCCAGACACACAACCCAACUGAUUAAUCAAAUCAUUUUUUUACCUAAGUACGGGAGACGGAAAAGGAACCACGGAGCUAUAGACAAAGUACCGCAAGGGAACGCUGAAAGAGAAAUGAAAUAAUCCAGUAAAGCAUAA